Molecule: long non-coding RNA, 2428 nt
Organism: Homo sapiens (human)
Lineage: Eukaryota; Metazoa; Chordata; Mammalia; Primates; Hominidae
Exons: 2
Source: RefSeq, a predicted model, not a curated record
CUCAAAGCUCAGGGCAUAAAUCAUUCCAUUUCUGUUUUCCCAGUGGAGAUGGUAUGCCUCAGUCUCCUUCUCUUUUGCUCUUUCUUUCCCUGGAAGCAAGGGACUCCUUUUCAGCCUGGGAGUAUAAAUGGUGGCCCUGGAAAGAAGACACUGGGCUCCCAGGGGUUCAGGGCAGGAGGAUGAAGAAGCUACACGAGAUUUGGACUUCUUAGAGCUGGUACUCCCGGAGUCUAGAAUCAGAUAGACCUCCCGCGAGGAUAUGCUAAAAGUCCCAUAGAAAACAGAUUUUGAGGCUGCAGAUCUGACAGUUUACCAAAGGAGAUGAGACAUUAUAAAUGUAUGACUGCAGGGUUGAGAGGUGAGUGGGGAAAUUCUAAAAUGCGCGUCUAUGUGACUUCUGUCAUAGAGGCCAGGCUUUGUUAAGCAUGCUUUAACAACUGAAUGAUCUAAGUAUUUCUGGAAAUUUCUGAAACUAACUAAGGGAAAUAGGACAAACUGUUAAUCCUGACAAAAUAAUAUUUUCUGCCAUGCAAUCUCUCUCUCAUCCAAUGAGUAAAAUUUGUUUCACAAUUCUGGUUCUAAGGAGUAAAGUGGGAAAUCUAGUGUAUAAGAUUACAUGAAAUAACAUAGCUAAUCAUUUCAUAAUUGAACAUGGUUAAUUUUACUGACCUUUUAGCCGAAGAUAAAAACAAAUAUAAAUGACUAUUCAGUAAGUUGUGUUUACUUCUUUCUGCUCCCCAACCCCCACCUCCACAGUUAACGGAAAGACUCUUAGUUGUGUCAAAUUUGCAUAGAAAAUACAUAGAAGUCUGGAUUUUUCUAUGAAGAUCUGAAAUGACAUCUGAAUACUGGGCAGAAGAGUUCACAAGAACCAAAUUUUUCAAGAGAACUGUUUCCCAAGAAUAAUUUCCAAAAAAGAAAAAAAAAUGCUAUAAUGUUUCCAAUCCUCAUCUUGGCUUGAAUCAAGACAUAAAAAACCUUAAAGUGUGAUGAGAGGGAAAAAAUAUUUUUACCUUGGAAUAAAUUCUAUUUAAGUUGGGUUAGAUAUGGAGCUAUUUAUGGAAGCUUACAACAGUUCUUAAAACUUCCUCAGAAUCUUCCAUGAAUCUAGCAGCUUAAAGAGCCCUCCACAGGUGCAUCAUGAUAUGGCCAGCUGUCUCCAGUUUGUUCUCACCAUCCUUAUCCUAGAGGCAUUGAAAAUGAUUCCUUGGAAUAUAGGUGAGUCUUGGAGCAUAAUGUGUACCCAUUUCCAGACCUCACAGGCCAGAGGUGAGGACCUACUUGCCUUUGGGUCUUUCUAGCAAGAAGCUUGUCCUGGGAAGCCACAAAAUUAAAAUCUUGUCUGGAGGUAGAUUAUAUGGAAAUAGACGUUGAGACAAAAAUGCGCAGGCAAUUUAUUAAAGUAGUACUCCCAGGAGGAACCCAAAGUGGUGUGGGGAAAGCAAGUCAGGAAGGGAAGAAGCCAGGGUACAAUUUUAGGACAAGGACAAGACCCAGUCCCUGCCUAAUCCUGGGGAGGGAGUUCUGGAGUGAAAAUAGCAUCCUAGGUAAGAGAGCUGGGCUUUCAUGAUGCUGCCCAUCAGUCUUUGACUGAGAGUAGAAAGGGUGAUGGGAGCAUGCAAUUUCCCAAGGGCUCUGGCUUCCUGCAUCUGCAAUGGAAAUGGAAGUGGCUCCCAUAGCCCAAGGGCAAUCUUAUGAAGAUGGUGGUAGGGGCAGCAGGCUGUUAAAAUUAAUACACACAGAGAAGCACAGGAAUGGGCUCUCAGAAGCAGUGCAGAACAUUCACAGGGCUUGGGGAAGACUCCCAGCAGCACUGGCUAUGAUGGUUAAUCCUGUGAGUGAUAGAAUGCUUUGCAAUCCAUGGUGCAGGUGCUAUUACUACCCCUAAUCAUUGCUCCUCAAUCCCUCAAUAUUCCCAUCCUCCUCCACUUUGUCAGUUUCCCAAUUAAAAUAAAAUCGUGAAUUUCAGCACUAAAAUGUGGAAUUCCAUUUAAGAUGCACGAGAUUUUAUUAUGCAUAUAGUCUUUUCCUCAAAAUGCCAGGAGAAUCCUAGCAGGGCUUUCUUGUUACUAAUAGAAACCUUUGUUAUUGGUAUCAUGUCAAUUUAGUUUGAUUAGUAACUAAAUCAGAUGUCUUCUUUUUGCUGAGUUCCAAAGACCCUCCAGUUCCUAAACUGGAGUAAAUUAUAGUUCAGCAGAAAGAUGGACAAAUAGCUAACCAUGAUAUUGUGUGAUAAGUGUUAUAGGACCAUAAUAUUCUAGAAGCCCACAGGAAGGGGAAUUUACUCUACCUGGGAGUUUGAAGGUAGCCUUCCAGAGGUGGGAACAAUUGAGUGCAGCCCACAAGAUUUCCAUAGGUGGAGACAAAGUAGGGUUGUUGACAUUCCAGGAAAAAUGAAGAGCAAAUAAUUAAAGAUUAUUUAAGUAAA